This is a long non-coding RNA of Micropterus salmoides (largemouth bass), 463 nucleotides long. RefSeq lists it as uncharacterized. The record is from RefSeq and is a predicted model, not a curated record. The transcript has 3 exons. NCBI's taxonomy places the organism in Eukaryota, Metazoa, Chordata, Actinopteri, Centrarchiformes, Centrarchidae.
UGAGUUUUCUGCAUGUUUUGGCGCUGCCAGUUUUUGCAUUUUGGAUUUUGCCUGUCUCCACAACCCGCGAGUUUUGUUCAUACCGGUUGUCUUGCCUUGUGUGUUGGAUUAAAAUCCCCUGAACACUAUGUUUUGGUUCUCAUCAAAUCUUCAGAACAUCAGAGCUUAUGUACAAGGUGGAGAUGGGGUGGCUUUCAGACGGGACCUGGCUCCUAUCGUUCACUUAAAAGAGUCGGUUCAGAGAGCCGACUUGUUCGCGACCAACACAUCACUAGUUUUUCGCAGCAGUGUAUUUAUGGGACAUAACCUGCACAAUUGGAAAUGGGAACACAUAAGGUAGCAUUUUUCGAUAGGCCAGCGCAGUUUCAUUUCUGUGGGAUGUUUUCAUUAAUUUAAUCACUGGGCAAGAAAAAUGCAUGGUGGUUAGAUAAGUAUUAACUUAAUAAACAUUCAUGCAGACCAA